Molecule: non-coding RNA, 112 nt
Organism: Caerostris extrusa
Lineage: Eukaryota; Metazoa; Arthropoda; Arachnida; Araneae; Araneidae
Source: the annotation of a GenBank genome assembly
AACGGCCAUACCAUGCUGAAUAUACCGUUUCUCGUUAGAUCACCGAAGUCAAGCAUCAUUGGCCGAGGUCAGUGCUUGGGUGGGUGACUUCCUGGGAACACCGCGUGCCGUU